GCUGCAAGGGAUUUGGGGAAGGACAACGUUUUCUCUGAUUCUUGUUGCCAGUCGCUAGCGACUUACCCAUUGCAUUCGGCAUCGCAACCUUCUUUAAAUUCCUCGUGACGCAAAACCUGUUUGGCCAAGACAGACAGAGACAGCAUUAGUUGUCGGGAAAAAUUACAGAGUCAUUACCGCUAUCUGGCAUCUGGGCUUUUAAUUAAUCACGAUAACGUUGGUUGGUCCGAAGAUCCUAUUCGCAAAUCAUAAGAAAAAUACCCACUUUCAUUCCCAGGAUGCGGCGGAAGAAGAAGGCGUUCUUGGCCCGAUCUCCGAUCUUGAACACAUAGUGCAGGGCACGUCCCGGUACUGCUGCCAUUAUUGCCCUUUAAGUUGAGUUGAGUUUCGAAAUUUAGAAAUGAAAAUGAAAAUUUUUUGGCACCGGUUUGUUGUUCUGCGGCAGGCAGAAGAUUUCGAUACAAAAUUUUCGAUUAAAAAAUAUACUGUACGACCUAAGACAUAUACCGAAAUAUACUGAUGAUAUAUUUAA
This is a long non-coding RNA of Drosophila miranda, 532 nucleotides long. RefSeq lists it as uncharacterized. The transcript is spliced from 2 exons. Lineage: Eukaryota; Metazoa; Arthropoda; Insecta; Diptera; Drosophilidae. The record is from RefSeq and is a predicted model, not a curated record.